Molecule: long non-coding RNA, 288 nt
Filed under: Prunus persica (peach)
Lineage: Eukaryota; Viridiplantae; Streptophyta; Magnoliopsida; Rosales; Rosaceae
Description: long non-coding RNA (PPER_LNC008046)
Source: RNAcentral
UCCCAGUGGAGGUCCAAAAGGGAGGUCUAAUUGCUGGAGCACAACAUCUAGGUUUGGAAUUCUGGCAAUAGCAGCCUCACGGUCCUUCUUGAACUGCUUGUUGGCUUGCCACUGCACUAUGGCUGUCAUGUUAUUUAGAGUAUCCUGGCUCCUUUGUGUUGUGGCCUCUUGCCGGAGCAUAGCCUCCUGUAUCUAGUUUAAUCUUCUAGAACUAGACCUGGAACGUCUGCUCCUGGUACUGCCAUGGGCUAAGUGCCUAGCAUCACUUUCUUCUGACUCAAGUCCCUC